This 341-nucleotide ribosomal RNA is filed under the name Bacillus pumilus. Its description in RNAcentral is "bacterial SSU rRNA". It matches the Rfam family "Bacterial small subunit ribosomal RNA", at positions 210 to 525 of the family's 1533-position model. The record is from RNAcentral. Lineage: Bacteria; Bacillati; Bacillota; Bacilli; Caryophanales; Bacillaceae.
GCUGUUCACCUUAAGAAGGACCCGCGGCGCAUUAGCUAGUCGGUGAGGUAAACGGCUUCACCAAGGCGACCAACGCGUUAACCACCUGAGAGGGUGAAUCGGCCACACUUGGGACUUGAAACACGGCCCAAAUUCCUUACUGGAGGCAGCAGUAGGGAAUCUUUCCUCAAUUGGACGAAAAGUCUUGACGGAACAACGCCGCGUUGAGUUGAUGAAAGUUUUUCGGAUCGUAAAGCUCUGUUGUUAGGGAAGAACAAGUGCAAGAGUUAACUGCUUGCACCUUUGACGGUACCUAACCAGAAAGCCACGGCUAACUACGUGCCCAGCAGCCCGCGGUUAAU